GAUGAACGCUGGCGGCGUGCCUAAUACAUGCGAGUCGAGCGAACGGACGAGAGUGCUUGCACUCUCUGAUGUUAGCGGCGGACGGGUGAGUAACACGUGGGUAACCUACCUAUAAGACUGGGAUAACUUCGGGAAACCGGAGCUAAUACCGGAUAAUAUUUAGCUUCGCAUGAAGCAAUAGUGAAAGACAGUUCUGCUGUCACUUAUAGAUGGACCCGCGGUGUAUUAGCUAGUUGGUGAGGUAACGGCUCACCAAGGCAACGAUACAUAGCCGACCUGAGAGGGUGAUCGGCCACACUGGGACUGAGACACGGCCCAGACUCCUACGGGAGGCAGCAGUAGGGAAUCUUCCGCAAUGGACGAAAGUCUGACGGAGCAACGCCGCGUGAGUGAAGAAGGUUUUCGGAUCGUAAAACUCUGUUGUAAGGGAAGAACAAGUACGUUAGUAACUGAACGUACCUUGACGGUACCUUACCAGAAAGCCACGGCUAACUACGUGCCAGCCGCCGCAGUAA
This 515-nucleotide ribosomal RNA is filed under the name uncultured bacterium. RNAcentral describes it as "partial 16S ribosomal RNA". It matches the Rfam family "Bacterial small subunit ribosomal RNA", at positions 28 to 523 of the family's 1533-position model. The record is from RNAcentral.